AGCUUCUCAGAUUGUGUACCGUCCUAGUUGGCAGGCAGUUAGAACUCGUGAUUGAGUGGUUGGUAAAGCUAGACCUGAGCGACCUAACCUGUUGGUUUGAAUGACUGUG
Molecule: non-coding RNA, 109 nt
Filed under: unclassified sequences
Description: EGFOA RNA
Rfam family: EGFOA RNA
Source: Rfam by way of RNAcentral